UGCAGCUCUAAGUGGGUGGUAAAUUCCAUCUAAAGCUAAAUAUUGGCGAGAGACCGAUAGCGAACAAGUACAGUGAUGGAAAGAUGAAAAGAACUUUGAAAAGAGAGUGAAAAAGUACGUGAAAUUGUUGAAAGGGAAGGGCUUGAGAUCAGACUUGGUAUUUUGUAUGUUACUCUCUCGGGGGUGGCCUCUACAGUUUACCGGGCCAGCAUCAGUUUGAGCGGUAGGAUAAGUGCAAAGAAAUGUGGCACUGCUUCGGUAGUGUGUUAUAGUCUUUGUCGA
This 282-nucleotide ribosomal RNA is filed under the name Lodderomyces parapsilosis. RNAcentral's name for it is "Candida parapsilosis partial large subunit ribosomal RNA". It matches the Rfam family "Eukaryotic large subunit ribosomal RNA", at positions 281 to 572 of the family's 3401-position model. Lineage: Eukaryota; Fungi; Ascomycota; Pichiomycetes; Serinales; Debaryomycetaceae. The record is from RNAcentral.